UACGUAUGUCCCGAGCGUUAAUCGGAUUUACUGGGCGUAAAGCGUGCGCAGGCGGCCCGUUAAGACAGGUGUGAAAUCCCUGGGCUCAACCUAGGAAUUGCGCUUGUGACUGGCGGGCUCGAGUACGGUAGAGGGGGGUGGAAUUCCUGGUGUAGCAGUGAAAUGCGUAGAGAUCAGGAGGAACACCGAUGGCGAAGGCAGCCCCCUGGGCCUGUACUGACGCUCAUGCACGAAAGCGUGGGGAGCAAACAGG
This 253-nucleotide ribosomal RNA is filed under the name uncultured microorganism. RNAcentral's name for it is "partial 16S ribosomal RNA". It matches the Rfam family "Bacterial small subunit ribosomal RNA", at positions 524 to 776 of the family's 1533-position model. The record is from RNAcentral.